This 357-nucleotide ribosomal RNA is filed under the name uncultured eukaryote. Its description in RNAcentral is "partial 18S ribosomal RNA". It matches the Rfam family "Eukaryotic small subunit ribosomal RNA", at positions 1470 to 1796 of the family's 1831-position model. The record is from RNAcentral.
CCCUUCGAUGUCCUGGGCUGCACGCGCGCUACACUGAUGCAUGCAUCAAGCGAUUCUAUUUCAAGCUCUUUGCCAGCAAUGGUAGAGAGUGAGACGCCUGGACUGACAAGUUUGGGGAAUCUUUGAACCUGCAUCGUGAUGGGGAUAGAUGAUUGCAAUUAUUCAUCUUCAACGAGGAAUUCCUAGUAAACGCGACUCAUCAUGUCGCAUUGAAUACGUCCCUGCCCUUUGUACACACCGCCCGUCGCUGCUACCGAUUGAAUGGUUCAGCAAGCUCCACGGAUUGACUUGCGGUUUUCGGACUGUGUCGAAAAGUGGCGCAAACUUGACCAUUUAGAGGAAGCAAAAGUCGUAACA